Molecule: small RNA, 198 nt
Filed under: Streptomyces nodosus
Lineage: Bacteria; Bacillati; Actinomycetota; Actinomycetes; Kitasatosporales; Streptomycetaceae
Description: c-di-AMP sequence
Rfam family: c-di-AMP riboswitch aptamer (ydaO/yuaA leader)
About the family: This family represents a conserved RNA structure found upstream of the ydaO and yuaA genes in Bacillus subtilis and related genes in other bacteria. The ydaO/yuaA element is thought to act as a genetic "off" switch for the ydaO and yuaA genes in its native state. It is believed that the element may be triggered during osmotic shock leading to activation of ydaO, a predicted amino acid transporter gene, and members of the yuaA-yubG operon which code for KtrA and KtrB K+ transporters.
Source: RNAcentral
GCGAGCGGAAUGCCGAAUCCUGCCGCCGCUCGAGGCUCCUUCUACACACGACGGCAGGAGCGGGGGACCCAGGUAAGCCGCCGCACCGGACACCGUUCCGGAGCGGCUCGGGGUGAAGCCGCGUCUCGACACCGAGACCGGCCGGGCACCUCCCCGCCCGAACCCGACAGCUCACCUCGCAGGCAUCGGAGAGGAAAA